AGUAGUUAAGAAGUAGUUCUAUGUGAUUUAUGAGAUGGAGUUCAGAAGACCUAGACCUAGGUAGAGUGAAUGAUGGAAAAGAGUUUCCAUCAGAUUUUAUAAAUGAACUUCCAUCGAAUAAAUUUUACAUAUGACAGAUGAUAGGAUUUGAUAAGUUUUUCAUGAUCUUCGUUUUGUUGGGACUCACGGUAGAAGAACUAAAUCACACGGUAACUACAUCUAGAGAUUUAUUUUUCUAUUCUGCUGGAUUGUCACUACAUACUAUUAGACAUUACUGAUAGAUUAUAGGAUCAAUGAGAAUUAUUUUAAUGGUCAAUUAUUCUCGAUUGAUAAGUUGGAAUUAUUUCAAUCUAUUGAAAGAAGUUUCAAUGAUAUUUUGAUAGAGAUCAAAAUAUUUCUUACUACCAGAUAGAAUAGAACCUAUAGAGUCAUAUAUAAAAGAGGUCCUGA
This 450-nucleotide long non-coding RNA is filed under the name Elaeis guineensis (African oil palm). RNAcentral describes it as "long non-coding RNA (EGUI_LNC050131)". The record is from RNAcentral. Lineage: Eukaryota; Viridiplantae; Streptophyta; Magnoliopsida; Arecales; Arecaceae.